Molecule: non-coding RNA, 226 nt
Organism: Oryza nivara
Lineage: Eukaryota; Viridiplantae; Streptophyta; Magnoliopsida; Poales; Poaceae
Source: Rfam
AACCACACUAUCGAUGUAUAGAUUCACCCGCGAGAUGAUGUGGCUGUUUCACCUAGGACGAGGACAUGGCAUCCUAUUACCAGCCAUCGCACGAAAUUAAUAUGAUGCCACGUCCUCAUACUAGAUGCAGCCAUCGCACGAAAUUAAUAUGAUGCCACGUCCUCGUCCUAGGUGAAACAACCACGUCGUCAGAUCACAAGUGAAUCCAUUCAUCGAUAGUGUGGUU